ACUUUCUCUCAACCCUAAGAGGCGCUGGAGCUGCAGGCCGGAGGUUUGACCGGUGUACGUCGUUGCCUCAUCAGCUGGUGGACUAUAUGAGGCUGUUCAAGCCGAGCCGCUGAGCUGGGUUUCUUCCUCUGGGACUCACCUCCCGUCAAGAUUGGAUUGUGCUGCGCAUGGCAGCCACCCUUGCGAAUCCUCCAGUCUGAAAGCGCAACCUGUCCACUCACCUUGCUACCUGGAACAUCGGAGCGCUCCAGCCGGUUCCGCGCAGGCUCACGCCCCAGACUUGUACCCGUCUCUCCCCCCGGCGGAUCGAUCGCCUCCUGAAUACCUGACUCCUGACCACUCUGCUCGCCUCGUUCCCGAGACUGAGAAAUAAAACUUUAAAUCUACGCUUCUCUGUAGAGUGUCCUCUGCAUGUGGGUCAAGUCGGCCUUAAAAAC
Girardinichthys multiradiatus is the source of this 437-nucleotide long non-coding RNA. RefSeq lists it as uncharacterized. The transcript has 3 exons. The record is from RefSeq and is a predicted model, not a curated record. Lineage: Eukaryota; Metazoa; Chordata; Actinopteri; Cyprinodontiformes; Goodeidae.